GCCUUCGUGGUGUAAUGGUAGCACACUCGGCGCGUAUUCGAGAGAUCCGGGUUCGAGUCCCGGAGAGGGCA
RNAcentral lists this transfer RNA (71 nucleotides) under Stegodyphus mimosarum. It matches the Rfam family "tRNA". From Rfam's summary of the family: Transfer RNA (tRNA) molecules are approximately 80 nucleotides in length. Their secondary structure includes four short double-helical elements and three loops (D, anti-codon, and T loops). The record is from Rfam by way of RNAcentral. Lineage: Eukaryota; Metazoa; Arthropoda; Arachnida; Araneae; Eresidae.